AUUGAACGCUGGCGGCAUGCUUUACACAUGCAAGUCGAACGGUAACAGGCCGCAAGGUUCUGACGAGUGGCGAACGGGUGAGUAAUGCAUCGGAACGUGCCCAGUCGUGGGGGAUAACUACUCGAAAGAGUAGCUAAUACCGCAUACGAUCUAUGGAUGAAAGCGGGGGACCGUAAGGCCUCGCGCGAUUUGAGCGGCCGAUGUCAGAUUAGGUAGUUGGUGGGGUAAAGGCUCACCAAGCCAACGAUCUGUAGCUGGUCUGAGAGGACGACCAGCCACACUGGGACUGAGACACGGCCCAGACUCCUACGGGAGGCAGCAGUGGGGAAUUUUGGACAAUGGGCGCAAGCCUGAUCCAGCAAUGCCGCGUGCAGGAAGAAGGCCUUCGGGUUGUAAACUGCUUUUGUACGGAACGAAACGGCUCUGGUUAAUACCCGGGGCUAAUGACGGUACCGUAAGAAUAAGCACCGGCUAACUACGUG
This 482-nucleotide ribosomal RNA is filed under the name uncultured bacterium. RNAcentral describes it as "partial 16S ribosomal RNA". It matches the Rfam family "Bacterial small subunit ribosomal RNA", at positions 30 to 507 of the family's 1533-position model. The record is from RNAcentral.